This 377-nucleotide long non-coding RNA is filed under the name Capsicum annuum. RNAcentral describes it as "long non-coding RNA (CANN_LNC010458)". Lineage: Eukaryota; Viridiplantae; Streptophyta; Magnoliopsida; Solanales; Solanaceae. The record is from RNAcentral.
UUUUUUCUUAAUUAUUUCUAUUUUAUUUAUUGAAAAUAUAGUUAUUUCUGUUUUAUUUAUCGAAAAUACUACUAGUUCUAUUGUAUCUUCAGUAUUUUUUAUAUUUUCUAACUUUUGUGUAAUUUUUUCACUUCCUUUUAUCCAAUCAGUUUUCUUUCUUAUUUUAUUAUUAACUCUUUUUGCUCUUACUUUCUGUUUACAUGGUGUUGUAAACCACCAGUCUGUUUUGGUUAUUAUAUGUGGGUAUAAUUUAUCUAAGAAUGACAUUCCUAAAAGUAUAUCUUUUGAUGUUAAUUCAUAAUUAUAAAUUUCUUCUAUUGUUAAUAUCUUAUCCCAUACUUGUAUUUUUACACUCUUAGCUUUAUAAGUAAUUAAAC